UACGUAGGGGGCAAGCGUUGUCCGGAAUCAUUGGGCGUAAAGAGCGCGUAGGCGGUCCGAUAAGUCGGUUGUGAAAACUGGGGGCUCAACCCUCAGAGGCCGACCGAUACUGUCGGGCUAGAGUCCGGAAGAGGCGAGUGGAAUUCCUGGUGUAGCGGUGAAAUGCGCAGAUAUCAGGAGGAACACCUAUUGCGAAGGCAGCUCGCUGGGACGUAACUGACGCUGAGACGCGAAAGCGUGGGGAGCAAACAGG
This 253-nucleotide ribosomal RNA is filed under the name uncultured bacterium. RNAcentral describes it as "partial 16S ribosomal RNA". It matches the Rfam family "Bacterial small subunit ribosomal RNA", at positions 524 to 776 of the family's 1533-position model. The record is from RNAcentral.